CAGCAGCCACGGUAAUACGUAGGUGGCAAGCGUUGUCCGGAAUUAUUGGGCGUAAAGGGCUCGCAGGCGGUUUCUUAAGUCUGAUGUGAAAGCCCCCGGCUCAACCGGGGAGGGUCAUUGGAAACUGGGAAACUUGAGUGCAGAAGAGGAGAGUGGAAUUCCACGUGUAGCGGUGAAAUGCGUAGAGAUGUGGAGGAACACCAGUGGCGAAGGCGACUCUCUGGUCUGUAACUGGCGCUGAGGAGCGAAAGCGUGGGGAGCGAACAGGAUUAGAUACCCGGGUAGUCCCUGUCUCUUAUAC
Molecule: ribosomal RNA, 301 nt
Filed under: uncultured bacterium
Lineage: Bacteria
Description: partial 16S ribosomal RNA
Rfam family: Bacterial small subunit ribosomal RNA
Source: RNAcentral